RNAcentral lists this transfer RNA (69 nucleotides) under Agonus cataphractus (hooknose). RNAcentral's name for it is "tRNA-Met". It matches the Rfam family "tRNA". From Rfam's summary of the family: Transfer RNA (tRNA) molecules are approximately 80 nucleotides in length. Their secondary structure includes four short double-helical elements and three loops (D, anti-codon, and T loops). Further hydrogen bonds mediate the characteristic L-shaped molecular structure. tRNAs have two regions of fundamental functional importance: the anti-codon, which is responsible for specific mRNA codon recognition, and the 3' end, to which the tRNAs corresponding amino acid is attached (by aminoacyl-tRNA synthetases). tRNAs cope with the degeneracy of the genetic code in two manners: having more than one tRNA (with a specific anti-codon) for a particular amino acid; and 'wobble' base-pairing, i.e. permitting non-standard base-pairing at the 3rd anti-codon position. The record is from RNAcentral. Lineage: Eukaryota; Metazoa; Chordata; Actinopteri; Perciformes; Agonidae. RNAcentral also lists the same sequence under 2 other names.
AGUAAAGUCAGCUAAUUAAGCUCUUGGGCCCAUACCCCAAAUAUGUUGGUUAAACUCCUUCCUUUGCUA